UGGUGGAGUGAUUUGUCUGGUUAAUUCCGCUAACGAACGAGACCUUAACCUGCUAAAUAGUUACAUGUAACCUCGGUUACAUGGGCAACUUCUUAGAGGGACUUUACGUGUCUAACGUAAGGAAGUUUGAGGCAAUAACA
This 140-nucleotide ribosomal RNA is filed under the name uncultured eukaryote. RNAcentral's name for it is "partial 18S ribosomal RNA". It matches the Rfam family "Eukaryotic small subunit ribosomal RNA", at positions 1299 to 1458 of the family's 1831-position model. The record is from RNAcentral.